UACGGAGGGUGCAAGCGUUAUCCGGAUUCACUGGGUUUAAAGGGCGCGUAGGCGGGUCGGAAAGUCCGCGGUGAAAUCCCCCCGCUCAACGGGGGAACGGCCGCGGAUACUGUCGGCCUCGAGGGGGGUAGGGGCGAGCGGAACGCUGGGUGGAGCGGUGAAAUGCGUUGAUAUCCAGCGGAACUCCGGUGGCGAAGGCGGCUCGCUGGACCUUCACUGACGCUGAGGCGCGAAAGCCAGGGGAGCGAACGGG
This 253-nucleotide ribosomal RNA is filed under the name uncultured bacterium. RNAcentral's name for it is "partial 16S ribosomal RNA". It matches the Rfam family "Bacterial small subunit ribosomal RNA", at positions 524 to 776 of the family's 1533-position model. The record is from RNAcentral.